This 434-nucleotide ribosomal RNA is filed under the name uncultured bacterium. RNAcentral describes it as "partial 16S ribosomal RNA". It matches the Rfam family "Bacterial small subunit ribosomal RNA", at positions 29 to 507 of the family's 1533-position model. The record is from RNAcentral.
AGCGAACGCUGGCGGCAGGCCUAACACAUGCAAGUCGAACGAACCUUUCGGGGUUAGUGGCGGACGGGUGAGUAACACGUGGGAACGUGCCUUUAGGUUCGGAAUAACUCAGGGAAACUUGUGCUAAUACCGAAUGUGCCCUUCGGGGGAAAGAUUUAUCGCCUUUAGAGCGGCCCGCGUCUGAUUAGCUAGUUGGUUGAGGUAAUGGCUCACCAAGGCGACGAUCAGUAGCUGGUCUGAGAGGAUGAACAGCCACAUUGGGACUGAGACACGGCCCAAACUCCUACGGGAGGCAGCAGUGGGGAAUCUUGCGCAAUGGGCGAAAGCCUGACGCAGCCAUGCCGCGUGAAUGAUGAAGGUCUUAGGAUUGUAAAAUUCUUUCACCGGGGACGAUAAUGACGGUACCCGGAGAAGAAGCCCCGGCUAACUUCGUG